RNAcentral lists this ribosomal RNA (500 nucleotides) under uncultured bacterium. Its description in RNAcentral is "partial 16S ribosomal RNA". It matches the Rfam family "Bacterial small subunit ribosomal RNA", at positions 30 to 523 of the family's 1533-position model. The record is from RNAcentral.
AUUGAACGCUGGCGGCAUGCCUUACACAUGCAAGUCGAACGGCAGCACGGGAGCAAUCCUGGUGGCGAGUGGCGAACGGGUGAGUAAAGUAUCGGAACGUGCCCAGUCGUGGGGGAUAACGUAGCGAAAGUUACGCUAAUACCGCAUACGAUCUAUGGAUGAAAGCGGGGGAUCGCAAGACCUCGCGCGAUUGGAGCAGCCGAUAUCAGAUUAGGUAGUUGGUGGGGUAAAGGCUCACCAAGCCGACGAUCUGUAGCUGGUCUGAGAGGACGACCAGCCACACUGGGACUGAGACACGGCCCAGACUCCUACGGGAGGCAGCAGUGGGGAAUUUUGGACAAUGGGCGAAAGCCUGAUCCUGCCAUGCCGCGUGCAGGAUGAAGGCCUUCGGGUUGUAAACUGCUUUUGUACGGAACGAAAAGGUUUGGCCUAAUAAGCUGAGCUCAUGACGGUACCGUAAGAAUAAGCACCGGCUAACUACGUGCCAGCCGCCGCAGUAA